Molecule: ribosomal RNA, 225 nt
Filed under: uncultured Acinetobacter sp.
Lineage: Bacteria; Pseudomonadati; Pseudomonadota; Gammaproteobacteria; Moraxellales; Moraxellaceae
Description: partial 16S ribosomal RNA
Rfam family: Bacterial small subunit ribosomal RNA
Source: RNAcentral
UGCGUAGGCGGCUUCUUAAGUCGGAUGUGAAAUCCCUGAGCUUAACUUAGGAAUUGCAUUCGAUACUGGGAAGCUAGAGUAUGGGAGAGGAUGGUAGAAUUCCAGGUGUAGCGGUGAAAUGCGUAGAGAUCUGGAGGAAUACCGAUGGCGAAGGCAGCCAUCUGGCCUAAUACUGACGUUGAGAAACGAAAGCGUGGGGAGCAAACAGGAUUAGAUACCCCUGUA